Drosophila gunungcola (fruit fly) is the source of this 1058-nucleotide long non-coding RNA. RefSeq lists it as uncharacterized. NCBI's taxonomy places the organism in Eukaryota, Metazoa, Arthropoda, Insecta, Diptera, Drosophilidae. The transcript has 3 exons. The record is from RefSeq and is a predicted model, not a curated record.
UAAGAGGUGCGACUUUCAAUGCCCAAAAGAGCUAAAACAUUUUCCAUUAGUUCACCGGCAUAUGUAAGCAUUCCGCUUGAAGAAUUUCCCGAACCGCUCAUCAACAACUAAUAAAUUAAAUGCAUUUCCUAGCCAUCUCGUCAGCCUUAACACCCUAACUGCCCCCACAAUAUUUGGAUACACAAAAUGUAUUUCUGAUCCAGUGCCCAAAAGUUGGCUCAGCUUUUUUUCUCGCUUUUGGCGCUUCAACAUUUCUGGAAAUUUAUCAUUUAAAUUCAAAUUCACUUUCGGCUGCGUUGAGGGCUUUGAAUUAGUUUGUAAAUUUGCGUAUUUUCCAGGAUUCUUUUCCUUGGUUUCGCUUCGCUUUUUUUCGUUUGCGCAUAAAUUUGAAAGCCAUUGAAAUGAAAUGUUCGGCAUCAGUAUUUGCAUAUCCUUUUUGGCAGCCGAUGAAUUGCGCGCCAACGCCAGCAGAUGCUCUGAACCGGCUAAGUGAGGUUAAUGUGUAUUUUAUCGAUCUGACUAAGCGGCUAAAUGCUGUGACCCGGGGCAGGAAUAAAAUCUGCUUUUCGGACGCACGGCAUCAUCUACUUACAUGGUAUGAUGCCCUGCUCGACGAGCUGCGAAUGUGGACGUCGCACCAUGAGCUUCACUUUGAGCGCUGCAAAAAGAUGGAAGACCAAAGAAGCAGGCUGCACUGUCGAUUUUCUGAAAAAAUCAGUACAAAUAGGGUGGGCACACAGCUCUUAAGAAGUAUUUUUUAAUUCCGGAGUCCACAAAGUUCCAAUUGGAAAAGGGCGUCGCAAAUUCGAACAAAAGGAGACAACUAAAACGUCAUCGAAACGCCGGCAAAACAAAGACGCGAAGCAGCGGCACAAAGCGGAGAAGUGCAAAACGACGAAGAGGAGCCAAAGAGGGAACGCCAAAACUUUUGCGAAUCUCAGGCAUAAAGUGGAUUAAAACAGCGAAAUACAUAGAUAUACAUAAAUGCAAUUAAAUAGAGGGGGACUACAUGAAAAAUUGCACCAAAAUCAAAUUUAGACGGGCAUCUCACGCACCUC